RNAcentral lists this ribosomal RNA (500 nucleotides) under uncultured bacterium. RNAcentral's name for it is "partial 16S ribosomal RNA". It matches the Rfam family "Bacterial small subunit ribosomal RNA", at positions 29 to 523 of the family's 1533-position model. The record is from RNAcentral.
AUUGAACGCUGGCGGCAUGCCUUACACAUGCAAGUCGAACGGCAGCACGGGAGCAAUCCUGGUGGCGAGUGGCGAACGGGUGAGUAAAGUAUCGGAACGUGCCCAGUCGUGGGGGAUAACGUAGCGAAAGUUACGCUAAUACCGCAUACGAUCUAUGGAUGAAAGCGGGGGAUCGCAAGACCUCGCGCGAUUGGAGCGGCCGAUAUCAGGUUAGGGAGUUGGUGGGGUAAAGGCCCACCAAGCCGACGAUCUGUAGCUGGUCUGAGAGGACGACCAGCCACACUGGGACUGAGACACGGCCCAGACUCCUACGGGAGGCAGCAGUGGGGAAUUUUGGACAAUGGGCGAAAGCCUGAUCCAGCCAUGCCGCGUGCAGGAUGAAGGCCUUCGGGUUGUAAACUGCUUUUGUACGGAACGAAAAGGACUGCCCUAAUACGGUGGUCCCAUGACGGUACCGUAAGAAUAAGCACCGGCUAACUACGUGCCAGCCGCCGCCGUAA